RNAcentral lists this ribosomal RNA (1336 nucleotides) under Conchoecissa symmetrica. RNAcentral's name for it is "SSU rRNA". Lineage: Eukaryota; Metazoa; Arthropoda; Ostracoda; Halocyprida; Halocyprididae. The record is from RNAcentral.
AGAGGAUCCGCGAUCGGAAUGAGCGCAGAUCAAAUCCUUCGUAUAUCGAGGAUCGAUUGGAGGGCAAGUCUGGUGCCAGCAGCCGCGGUAAUACCAGCUCCGAAAGCGUAUACUAAAAUUGUUGCGGUUGAAACGCUCGUAGUCUAGCAAGGGGAUCGCGCGGGAGCCGUCCGCGGCGGCGUCCGCGGUCUCGGCCCCGCCGAACCCCUUUCCAUUCCGACGGACCGUCAUACAGGUGCUCUUUAUUGAGCGUCGCGGGCCGUCCGGAGAACCUUCUACCGCGAGAAAACCGGAGUGCUCCAAGCCUGACUCUUGCCGGUCUUUACGACCGACGGCGAUCGAAAGUUCGCGGCACGAUAUCGAUAUGAGCCGCCGCGCGGGUUAAACCGUGUCGGCGGCGGAGACGAACGGAGACCAAGCGAGGGCGCGGGUAUCCCUGCGGCGAAAGGUGAAAUUUUAAGAUCCUAGGGGGACCGGCGGAGGCGAAAGCGUCCGCCAAGUGGGUCCGGUUACGAUCAGGAACUAAAGUCGGAGGACCGAAGGUGAUCAGAUACCACCGUAGUUCCGACCCUAAACGAUGCCGUCCGGAGAUCCGAAGGAGUGCGAGCGAGUAUCCCUUCGGGCCCUCCCACCGGGAAACCCAGAGACGGGCUCCGGGGGGAGUAUGGUCGCAAGACUGAAACUUAAAGGAAUUGACGGAAGGACACCACCAGGAGUGGAGCCUGCGGCUUAAUUCGACUCAACACGGGGAACCUCACCGGGCCCGGACACCGUGAUGACUGACAGACCGAUCGGCUCUUUCUUGAUUCGGUGGGUGGUGGUGCAUGGCCGUUCCUAGCUCGUGGAGCGAUCUGUCUGGUUAAUUCCGACAACGAACGAGACUCCRACCUAUUAACUAGAGCGCGCAUACGAUUUUGUCUACGGCGCCGAAGCCGCUCGGACCCUCCGUCUCGCCCCGCGGUCUCCGGACCGUUGCGGACGGGCGUGAGGCGUUUCGUCGGUAGUAGGUGCGUGCGCGGCCGUCUUCUUAGCGGGAUCGGCGGCUCGAAGCCGUACGAAAAGGAGCAAUAACAGGUCUGUGAUGCCCUUAGAUGUCCCGGGCUGCACGCGCGCGACAUUGAUGGAAUCAGUGCGAUCUCCCGCCUUUUACGAGAGGGCCGGGUAAUCGUAGAAACUCGAUCACCGUCGGGACCGGGGGCUGGAACCGUCCCCCGCGAACGUGGAAUUCCCCGUAGUGGCGUCUCAUCCGAGGUCGCCGCGAAUAAGUCCCUGCCCUUUGUACACACCGCCCGUCGCUACUACCGAUUGAACGAUCGAGCGAGGCCUUCGGACCGGU